RNAcentral lists this ribosomal RNA (796 nucleotides) under uncultured bacterium. Its description in RNAcentral is "bacterial SSU rRNA". It matches the Rfam family "Bacterial small subunit ribosomal RNA", at positions 8 to 796 of the family's 1533-position model. The record is from RNAcentral.
AGAGUUUGAUCCUGGCUCAGGAUGAACGCUAGCGACAGGCUUAACACAUGCAAGUCGAGGGGCAGCAUAAAAGUAGCAAUACUUUGGUGGCGACCGGCGCACGGGUGAGUAACGCGUAUGCAACCUACCUAUCAGAGGGGAAUAACCCGGCGAAAGUCGGACUAAUACCGCAUAAAACAGGGGCACCGCAUGGUGAUAUUUGUUAAAGAAAUUCGCUGAUAGAUGGGCAUGCGUUCCAUUAGGUAGUUGGUGAGGUAACGGCUCACCAAGCCGACGAUGGAUAGGGGAACUGAGAGGUUGGUCCCCCACACUGGUACUGAGACACGGACCAGACUCCUACGGGAGGCAGCAGUGAGGAAUAUUGGUCAAUGGGCGGGAGCCUGAACCAGCCAAGUCGCGCGAAGGAAGAAGGAUCUAUGGUUCGUAAACUUCUUUUGCAGGGGAAUAAAGUGCAGGACGUGUCCUGUUUUGUAUGUACCCUGAGAAUAAGGAUCGGCUAACUCCGUGCCAGCAGCCGCGGUAAUACGGAGGAUCCGAGCGUUAUCCGGAUUUAUUGGGUUUAAAGGGUGCGUAGGUGGUUUGAUAAGUCAGCGGUGAAAGUUUGCAGCUUAACUGUAAAAAUGCCGUUGAAACUGUCGGACUUGAGUGUAAAUGAGGUAGGCGGAAUGCGUGGUGUAGCGGUGAAAUGCAUAGAUAUCACGCAGAACUCCGAUUGCGAAGGCAGCUUACUAAGCUACAACUGACACUGAAGCACGAAAGCGUGGGGAUCAAACAGGAUUAGAUACCCUGGUAGUCG